UGUUACAAUGGCAGGUACANAGGGGUGCUACCGGGUGACCGGAUGCCGAUCUCGAAAACCUGUCCCAGUUCGGACUGGAGUCUGCAACCCGACUCCACGAAGUUGGAUUCGCUAGUAAUCGCGCAUCAGCCAUGGCGCGGUGAAUACGUUCCCGGGCCUUGUACACACCGCCCGUCAAGCCAUGGGAGCCGGGGGCGCCUGAAGUCCGGGACCGCGAGGACCGGCCUAGGGCGAAACUGGUGACUGGGGCUAAGUCGUAACAAGGUAUC
Molecule: ribosomal RNA, 269 nt
Filed under: uncultured bacterium
Lineage: Bacteria
Description: partial 16S ribosomal RNA
Rfam family: Bacterial small subunit ribosomal RNA
Source: RNAcentral